This 551-nucleotide ribosomal RNA is filed under the name uncultured Diversispora. RNAcentral describes it as "SSU rRNA". It matches the Rfam family "Eukaryotic small subunit ribosomal RNA", at positions 548 to 1098 of the family's 1831-position model. Lineage: Eukaryota; Fungi; Glomeromycota; Glomeromycetes; Diversisporales; Diversisporaceae. The record is from RNAcentral.
UUGGAGGGCAAGUCUGGUGCCAGCAGCCGCGGUAAUUCCAGCUCCAAUAGCGUAUAUUAAAGUUGUUGCAGUUAAAAAGCUCGUAGUUGAACUUCGGGGUCUACCCAUUGGUCAGGCUUAAUUGUCUGCACUGGUGAGAUGGAUCUCUACCUUCUGAGGAACUUUCAUGCCAUUUAUUUGGUGUGAUGGGAAAUCAGGACUGUUACUUUGAAAAAAUUAGAGUGUUUAAAGCAGACUAUCGUCUGAAUACAUUAGCAUGGAAUAAUGAAAUAGGACGGACUGAUUCUAUUUCGUUGGUUUCUAGGAUCACCGUAAUGAUUAAUAGGGAUAGUUGGGGGCAUUAGUAUUCAAUUGUCAGAGGUGAAAUUCUUGGAUUUAUUGAAGACUAACUUCUGCGAAAGCAUUUGCCAAGGAUGUUUUCAUUAAUCAAGAAUGAAAGUUAGGGGAUCGAAGACGAUCAGAUACCGUCGUAGUCUUAACCAUAAACUAUGCCGACUAGGGAUCGGACGAUGUUAAUUUUUUAAUGACUCAUUCGGCGCCUUACGGGAAAC